This 497-nucleotide ribosomal RNA is filed under the name uncultured bacterium. Its description in RNAcentral is "partial 16S ribosomal RNA". It matches the Rfam family "Bacterial small subunit ribosomal RNA", at positions 28 to 507 of the family's 1533-position model. The record is from RNAcentral.
GAUGAACGCUGGCGGCGUGCCUAAUACAUGCAAGUCGAGCGAACAGACGAGGAGUUGGGGCCUCUGAGGUUAUAGGCGGUCGGGACAGUAACACGGGGAUAACCUACCUAUAAGACUGGGAUAACUUCGGGAAACCGGAGCUAAGACCGGAAAAUUUAUUGAACCUGAUGGUUCAAUAGUUAAAGGCGGUUUUGCUGUCACUAAUAGAUGGAUCCGCGCCGCAUUAGCUAGUUGGUAAGGUAACGGCUUACCAAGGCAACGAUGCGAAACCGACCCGAGAGGGACGUCGGACAGACUGGAUCUGAGACAGAGUCCAGACACCUACGGGAGGAAGCGGCAGGGAAUCUUCCGGAAUGGAGGAGAGCCUGACGGUGCAAAGCCGCGGGAGUGAUGAAGGUGUUCGGAUGGUAGAGCUCUGUAAUUAGUGAAGUUGAAAUGUGUAAGUAACUAUGCACAUAUUGACGGUACCGGGUCAGAAAGCCACGGCUAACUCCGUG